This 596-nucleotide ribosomal RNA is filed under the name Shewanella sp. RNAcentral describes it as "bacterial SSU rRNA". It matches the Rfam family "Bacterial small subunit ribosomal RNA", at positions 349 to 943 of the family's 1533-position model. The record is from RNAcentral. Lineage: Bacteria; Pseudomonadati; Pseudomonadota; Gammaproteobacteria; Alteromonadales; Shewanellaceae.
GAGCAGUGGGGAUAUUGCACAAUGGGGGAAACCCUGAUGCAGCCAUGCCGCGUGUGUGAAGAAGGCCUUCGGGUUGUAAAGCACUUUCAGUAGGGAGGAAAGGUAAUAACUUAAUACGCUAUUGCUGUGACGUUACCUACAGAAGAAGGACCGGCUAACUCCGUGCCAGCAGCCGCGGUAAUACGGAGGGUCCGAGCGUUAAUCGGAAUUACUGGGCGUAAAGCGUGCGCAGGCGGUUUGUUAAGCGAGAUGUGAAAGCCCCGGGCUCAACCUGGGAAUUGCAUUUCGAACUGGCGAACUAGAGUCUUGUAGAGGGGGGUAGAAUUCCAGGUGUAGCGGUGAAAUGCGUAGAGAUCUGGAGGAAUACCGGUGGCGAAGGCGGCCCCCUGGACAAAGACUGACGCUCAGGCACGAAAGCGUGGGGAGCAAACAGGAUUAGAUACCCUGGUAGUCCACGCCGUAAACGAUGUCUACUCGGAGUUUGGUGUCUUGAACACUGGGCUCUCAAGCUAACGCAUUAAGUAGACCGCCUGGGGAGUACGGCCGCAAGGUUAAAACUCAAAUGAAUUGACGGGGGCCGGCACAAGAAUGUUGUG